Molecule: ribosomal RNA, 570 nt
Filed under: uncultured Arthrobacter sp.
Lineage: Bacteria; Bacillati; Actinomycetota; Actinomycetes; Micrococcales; Micrococcaceae
Description: bacterial SSU rRNA
Rfam family: Bacterial small subunit ribosomal RNA
Source: RNAcentral
CCUACGGGAGGCAGCAGUGGGGAAUAUUGCACAAUGGGCGAAAGCCUGAUGCAGCGACGCCGCGUGAGGGAUGACGGCCUUCGGGUUGUAAACCUCUUUCAGCAGGGAAGAAGCGAAAGUGACGGUACCUGCAGAAGAAGCGCCGGCUAACUACGUGCCAGCAGCCGCGGUAAUACGUAGGGCGCAAGCGUUGUCCGGAAUUAUUGGGCGUAAAGAGCUCGUAGGCGGUUUGUCGCGUCUGCUGUGAAAGCCCGGGGCUCAACCCCGGGUCUGCAGUGGGUACGGGCAGACUAGAGUGCAGUAGGGGAGACUGGAAUUCCUGGUGUAGCGGUGAAAUGCGCAGAUAUCAGGAGGAACACCGAUGGCGAAGGCAGGUCUCUGGGCUGUAACUGACGCUGAGGAGCGAAAGCAUGGGGAGCGAACAGGAUUAGAUACCCUGGUAGUCCAUGCCGUAAACGUUGGGCACUAGGUGUGGGGGACAUUCCACGUUUUCCGCGCCGUAGCUAACGCAUUAAGUGCCCCGCCUGGGGAGUACGGCCGCAAGGCUAAAACUCAAAUGAAUUGACGGGG